Long non-coding RNA from Humulus lupulus (European hop), 408 nucleotides. RefSeq lists it as uncharacterized. The record is from RefSeq and is a predicted model, not a curated record. Lineage: Eukaryota; Viridiplantae; Streptophyta; Magnoliopsida; Rosales; Cannabaceae. The transcript has 4 exons.
UUGCACAUCAUUCUUAUAAUACUUUUGUUUAUGCUUUCUCAGGAUUCUUUUUACCAUAAUUUGACACCAGAAGAACAUGCAAGAGUACAUGAAUACAAUUUUGAUCAUCCUGAUGCAUUUGAUAAUGAGAAACUUUUAGCUUCUAUGGAUAAGUUGAGGAAUGGGCAAGCAGUAGAUAUUCCAAACUAUGACUUCAAGAGUUAUAAAAACAAUGUCUUCCUGCCUAGAAGGGUAAACCCUUCAGAUGUGAUAAUUUUGGAAGGCAUUCUCAUUUUUCAUGAUCCCCGUGUUCAAUAGUUGAUGAAUAUGAAGAUAUUUGUCGAUACAGAUGCUGAUGUUCGUUUAGCAAGGAGGAUAAGGCGUGACACAGUAGAAAAAAACAGGGAUAUUGGUACAAUUCUUGAUCAG